UGAUACGAAGAACGUUUGAGUGGUCUGGAU
This 30-nucleotide non-coding RNA is filed under the name Homo sapiens (human). The record is from RNAcentral. Lineage: Eukaryota; Metazoa; Chordata; Mammalia; Primates; Hominidae.